UGUCCGGAAUUAUUGGGCGUAAAGCGCGCGCAGGCGGCUUCUUAAGUCUGAUGUGAAAUCUCGGGGCUCAACCCCGAGCGGCCAUUGGAAACUGGGGAGCUUGAGUGCAGAAGAGGAGAGUGGAAUUCCACGUGUAGCGGUGAAAUGCGUAGAGAUGUGGAGGAACACCAGUGGCGAAGGCGACUCUCUGGUCUGUAACUGACGCUGAGGCGCGAAAGCGUGGGGAGCAAACAGGAUUAGAUACCCCUGGUAGUCCACGCCGUAAACGAUGAGUGCUAGGUGUUAGGGGUUUCGAUGCCCGUAGUGCCGAAGUUAACACAUUAAGCACUCCGCCUGGGGAGUACGGCCGCAAGGCUGAAACUCAAAGGAAUUGACGGGGACCCGCACAAGCAGUGGAGCAUGUGGUUUAAUUCGAAGCAACGCGAAGAACCUUACCAGGUCUUGACAUCCUUUGACCACCCAAGAGAUUGGGCUUCCCCUUCGGGGGCAAAGUGACAGGUGGUGCAUGGUUGUCGUCAGCUCGUGUCGUGAGAUGUUGGGUUAAGUCCCGCAACGAGCGCAACCCUUGAUCUUAGUUGCCAGCAUUGAGUUGGGCACUCUAAGGUGACUGCCGGUGACAAACCGGAGGAAGGUGGGGAUGACGUCAAAUCAUCAUGCCCCUUAUGACCUGGGCUACACACGUGCUACAAUGGAUGGUACAAAGGGCAGCGAAACCGCGAGGUGAAGCCAAUCCCAUAAAGCCAUUCUCAGUUCGGAUUGCAGGCUGCAACUCGCCUGCAUGAAGCCGGAAUUGCUAGUAAUCGCGGAUCAGCAUGCCGCGGGGAAUACGUUCCCGGGUCUUGU
Molecule: ribosomal RNA, 843 nt
Filed under: Shouchella clausii
Lineage: Bacteria; Bacillati; Bacillota; Bacilli; Caryophanales; Bacillaceae
Description: bacterial SSU rRNA
Rfam family: Bacterial small subunit ribosomal RNA
Source: RNAcentral